CUGGAGCUGCUCCACACCGCCCAGCCCUCUUGUAUUUUUGGUGGCCCCCAGGCUUCUAGAGCAUGCCGGGAUCUUUCAGUGGUCUAAGGAGAAGCUGGGAGCUGAGAAUUUUCUGCUGACAGUGUGGUGCUGAGCUGGGGGAAGAAACUAAGUGACCGAAGUCCAGCAUCACGCUUGCCGAGUGGCUUCUCCCACUUCGUCUCAUCAAUUAGGAAAAUGUUACCAACAGCAAUGACUUCUAGCCCCUGCAGUUUACUCACAGUUGCAGCCUAUCAGUGCUUCAUUCACGUGGAAUUAUCUUGUGUACUAAACUCUGACAUAGGUCAUUAAGUCUCUGUGCAUGAUUAAGGAUCCUAAAUAGACAAAGCAACUGUUAGAUGCUCGUUUCCUCCCGGUGCGGCUGUGUAAAGUAAGAUGGAAGCUCCUCAAGUAUCUUUCUUCUUGAAAAAGUUGCUGCUCAUUAGUGGUUGAUUACUCCAUUAGAGUUUUCAUUAGGUUGCAAACAUCAUGUAUUUCUUUACAGACAUAUUUCUAAAUAUGAUGAAGUAUUUUAUUAAACUGAA
Molecule: long non-coding RNA, 563 nt
Filed under: Equus caballus (horse)
Lineage: Eukaryota; Metazoa; Chordata; Mammalia; Perissodactyla; Equidae
Description: lncRNA (ENSECAG00000050484.1)
Source: RNAcentral